Molecule: ribosomal RNA, 533 nt
Filed under: uncultured bacterium
Lineage: Bacteria
Description: bacterial SSU rRNA
Rfam family: Bacterial small subunit ribosomal RNA
Source: RNAcentral
AGAGAAUAGAUACCCUGGUAGUCCAUGCUGUAAACGAUGAGAACUAGAUGUUAGGGGGCAUGACCUCUUAGUAUCGAAGCUAACGCGAUAAGUUCUCCGCCUGGGGAGUACGGCCGCAAGGUUAAAACUCAAAGAAAUUGACGGGGGCCCGCACAAGCGGUGGAGCAUGUGGUUUAAUUCGAUGCAACGCGAAGAACCUUACCUACCUUUGAAUCCACGGAACCUAGCAGAGAUGUUGGGGUGCCUUCGGGAGCCGUGAGACAGGUGCUGCAUGGCUGUCGUCAGCUCGUGUCGUGAGAUGUUGGGUUAAGUCCCGUAACGAGCGCAACCCUUGUCCUUAGUUGCCAUCAGGUUAUGCUGGGCACUUUAAGGAGACUGCCGGUGAUAAACCCGGAGGAAGGUGGGGAUGACGUCAAGUCCUCAUGGCCCUUACAGGUAGGGCUACACACGUGCUACAAUGGGCAGUACAGAGGGAAGCCAACCCGGCGAGGGGUAGCGAAUCUCAUAAAGCUGUUCGUAGUCCGGAUUGGAGU